This 492-nucleotide ribosomal RNA is filed under the name uncultured bacterium. RNAcentral's name for it is "partial 16S ribosomal RNA". It matches the Rfam family "Bacterial small subunit ribosomal RNA", at positions 29 to 507 of the family's 1533-position model. The record is from RNAcentral.
AGUGAACGCUGGCGGUAGGCCUAACACAUGCAAGUCGAACGGCAGCACAGUAAGAGCUUGCUCUUACGGGUGGCGAGUGGCGGACGGGUGAGGAAUACAUCGGAAUCUACUUUUUCGUGGGGGAUAACGUAGGGAAACUUACGCUAAUACCGCAUACGACCUACGGGUGAAAGCAGGGGAUCUUCGGACCUUGCGCGAUUGAAUGAGCCGCUGUCGGAUUAGCUGGUUGGCGGGGUAAAGGCCCACCAAGGCGAGGAUCGGUAGCUGGUCUGAGAGGAUGAUCAGCCACACUGGAACUGAGACAGGGUCCAGACUACUACGGGAGGGAGCAGUGGGGAAUAUUGGACAAUGGGCGGAAGCCUGAUCCAGCCAUACCGCGUGGGUGAAGAAGGCCUUCGGGUUGUAAAGCCCUUUUGUUGGGAAAGAAAAGCAGCAGGUUAAUACCCCGCUGUUCUGACGGUACCCAAAGAAUAAGCACCGGCUAACUUCGUG